UUCAGAAUCUUGCGCAAUGGGCGAAAGCCUGACGCAGCGAUGCCGCGUGAGCGAUGAAGGCCUUCGGGUCGUAAAGCUCUGUCAGAGGGAACGAUAAUGACGGUACCCUCAAAGGAAGCCACGGCUAAUUACGUGCCAGCAGCCGCGGUAAUACGUAAGCGGCGAGCGUUAUCCGGAAACACUGGGCGUAAAGCGUUCGUAGGCGGCGCAGUAUGUCGGAAUUGAAAUCCCAGGGCUUAACUCUGGACCCGGUUCCGAAACGGUUGUGCUUGAGCGUAUCAGAGCGUAGUGGAAUUCCCGGUGUAGCGGUAAUAUGCGUAGAUAUCGGGAGGAACACCAGUGGCGAAGGCGGCUACCUGGGAUAUUGCUGACGCUGAGGAACGAAAGCCAGGGGAGCGAACG
RNAcentral lists this ribosomal RNA (402 nucleotides) under uncultured prokaryote. Its description in RNAcentral is "bacterial SSU rRNA". It matches the Rfam family "Bacterial small subunit ribosomal RNA", at positions 355 to 774 of the family's 1533-position model. The record is from RNAcentral.